This 111-nucleotide long non-coding RNA is filed under the name Oreochromis niloticus (Nile tilapia). Its description in RNAcentral is "lncRNA (ENSONIG00000032286.1)". Lineage: Eukaryota; Metazoa; Chordata; Actinopteri; Cichliformes; Cichlidae. The record is from RNAcentral.
AGAAGUGUCUCGAUGACAUCUUAUGGCAGAGACAAGAGAAAAGACGAUAGCUCCAGCCCUCCACAAGGUGGAGGACUGGCAUGAGAGGGGUAAGAGGUCCGAGUGAGGCGG